CAUGCACACUAUUUAAAGCUUGGAGUCGAGGCUGUUAUCGGCCGAUGAACUCUCGAGUGUCGGAAGUGUGCUACAGUAAACGAAGGCAAGAUUUUCGCUAACACCGUCAGAGUUUAUUGCUCAAUGAUCGGGGUUUGAUAGUGGUCUUUGCCACAAUU
This 158-nucleotide small nucleolar RNA is filed under the name Leptobrachium leishanense (Leishan spiny toad). The record is from RNAcentral. Lineage: Eukaryota; Metazoa; Chordata; Amphibia; Anura; Megophryidae.